RNAcentral lists this ribosomal RNA (253 nucleotides) under uncultured bacterium. Its description in RNAcentral is "partial 16S ribosomal RNA". It matches the Rfam family "Bacterial small subunit ribosomal RNA", at positions 524 to 776 of the family's 1533-position model. The record is from RNAcentral.
UACAGAGGGUGCAAGCGUUAAUCGGAAUUACUGGGCGUAAAGCGUGCGUAGACGGUCAUGUAAGUCGGGUGUGAAAGCCCCGGGCUCAACCUGGGAAUUGCAUUCGAGACUGCAUGGCUAGGAUGCGGAAGAGGGAAGCGGAAUUUCCGGUGUAGCGGUGAAAUGCGUAGAUAUCGGAAGGAACAUCAGUGGCGAAAGCGGCUUCCUGGACCAGUACCGACGUUCAGGCACGAAAGCGUGGGGAGCAAACAGG